UACAGAGGGUGCGAGCGUUAAUCGGAAUUACUGGGCGUAAAGCGCGUGUAGGCGGCUAAGUGUGUCGGGCGUGAAAUCCCACGGCUCAACCGUGGAAGUGCACCCGAAACUACGUAGCUAGAGUCCUGGAGAGGAAGGUGGAAUGCUUGGUGUAGAGGUGAAAUUCGUAGAUAUCAAGCGGAACACCGGUGGCGAAGGCGGCCUUCUGGACAGUGACUGACGCUGAGACGCGAAAGCGUGGGGAGCAAACAGG
This 253-nucleotide ribosomal RNA is filed under the name uncultured bacterium. Its description in RNAcentral is "partial 16S ribosomal RNA". It matches the Rfam family "Bacterial small subunit ribosomal RNA", at positions 524 to 776 of the family's 1533-position model. The record is from RNAcentral.